This 498-nucleotide long non-coding RNA is filed under the name Bos indicus x Bos taurus (hybrid cattle). Its description in RNAcentral is "lncRNA (ENSBIXG00005011241.1)". Lineage: Eukaryota; Metazoa; Chordata; Mammalia; Artiodactyla; Bovidae. The record is from RNAcentral.
AUGAAUUUUCCUCCACAUCUUGGAAGUUGGGGGAAAAAGAAAAUCGCUAUCUUACAUGCCUGUGAAGAUGAAAGAGCAGUUCUGAACGUUAUUGUGGAGGUGACUGGUACUCAAAAUGAAGGGCCAGCAAUGCAUCCGGUGAUAUUCAUGCAACUGAAGUGCCUGAAUAAGAAGAGCGUAAGUUUUACACUUGUGGGAUAUCUGAGGUGGGUGUCUGGGUGUCACUUCAGUGCCAUACCAAGCCAUAUUUUGGAGCCUAAGUCCAAAAACAAAAUCCAUAACACUGCUUGAUCCUGUCUUUAAAAAAAUGUACCAUGUUCAUCAUGGAUUUUCUGGCAUUAAUUUUAUUUUUAUAAUGCUGCAUUAAAUAUUAUUUGGGCUUUCCAGAUGGCGCAGUGGUAGAGAAUCUGCCUGCCAGUGUAGGAGACGCAGGAGAUGCAGGUUAGAUCCCUGAGUUGGGAAGAUCUCAUGGAGUAGGAAAUGGCUUCUCACUUCAGU